UGAGGGGGUCCGGGAGUUUGUCGUCUGGUGCAUGGCGGGGGUCAUUG
This 47-nucleotide ribosomal RNA is filed under the name Tuber neoexcavatum. RNAcentral's name for it is "partial 18S ribosomal RNA". Lineage: Eukaryota; Fungi; Ascomycota; Pezizomycetes; Pezizales; Tuberaceae. The record is from RNAcentral.